AUGACUCGGGGUGCCGACGCAUGGCGUGGGCUGAGAUUUUACCCGUAUUACCUGAUCUGGAUCAUACCAGCGUAGGGAAGUC
Molecule: non-coding RNA, 82 nt
Filed under: Edwardsiella tarda
Lineage: Bacteria; Pseudomonadati; Pseudomonadota; Gammaproteobacteria; Enterobacterales; Hafniaceae
Description: TPP riboswitch (THI element)
Rfam family: TPP riboswitch aptamer (THI element)
About the family: Vitamin B(1) in its active form thiamin pyrophosphate (TPP) is an essential coenzyme that is synthesised by coupling of pyrimidine and thiazole moieties in bacteria. The previously detected thiamin-regulatory element, thi box was extended, resulting in a new, highly conserved RNA secondary structure, the THI element, which is widely distributed in eubacteria and also occurs in some archaea.
Source: RNAcentral